Molecule: ribosomal RNA, 500 nt
Filed under: uncultured bacterium
Lineage: Bacteria
Description: partial 16S ribosomal RNA
Rfam family: Bacterial small subunit ribosomal RNA
Source: RNAcentral
AUUGAACGCUGGCGGCAUGCCUUACACAUGCAAGUCGAACGGCAGCACGGGAGCAAUCCUGGUGGCGAGUGGCGAACGGGUGAGUAAAGUAUCGGAACGUGCCCAGUCGUGGGGGAUAACGUAGCGAAAGUUACGCUAAUACCGCAUACGAUCUAUGGAUGAAAGCGGGGGAUCGCAAGACCUCGCGCGAUUGGAGCGGCCGAUAUCAGAUUAGGUAGGUGGUGGGGUAAAGGCUCACCAAGCCGACGAUCUGUAGCUGGUCUGAGAGGACGACCAGCACCACUGGGACUGAAACACGGCCCAGACUCCUACGGGAGGCAGCAGUGGGGAAUUUUGGACAAUGGGCGAGAGCCUGAUCCAGCCAUGCCGCGUGCAGGAUGAAGGCCUUCGGGUUGUAAACUGCUUUUGUACGGAACGAAAAGGUUUGGCCUAAUAAGCUGAGCUCAUGACGGUACCGUAAGAAUAAGCACCGGCUAACUACGUGCCAGCAGCCGCGGUAA